UGGGAAUGGCUUGAGUGACGUCACAAUUGGGCAAUGUGAUCCCACCCUGGGAGGCUGAGACCUAGAUUCAAAUGGAGUACUCGCCUGUCUGUCCCUUCUCUGCUACGGUUCAGGUUAGAUGAGCUGCUCCCGUUGGUGGUUUUUAUCUCUUAGCUACACAGCUGCCUGUAGCACUCUCGUCUUUCAGAAUGAGUUGCCAACUUUCCAUUCUGGCCGUCAGAAUUAAAACAAAGAAUCAUCCUCCAAAGUCAUCCAGGCCGAUUUGGUGGUGGCAGGAACAAAAGGGCACCAAUCCCAGAAGGGGGAGGCUAGAUCAACUUUAGGUCACGACUUACUACUUUCCUGGCAAUCCAGGAAUCACAUCAACCUGGCUAUUCACAGAUGAAGGGGUAAAGAAACUGCUGUGUAGA
Molecule: long non-coding RNA, 410 nt
Filed under: Homo sapiens (human)
Lineage: Eukaryota; Metazoa; Chordata; Mammalia; Primates; Hominidae
Description: HSALNT0357227
Source: RNAcentral